This 235-nucleotide long non-coding RNA is filed under the name Solanum pimpinellifolium. RNAcentral describes it as "long non-coding RNA (SPIM_LNC000229)". The record is from RNAcentral. Lineage: Eukaryota; Viridiplantae; Streptophyta; Magnoliopsida; Solanales; Solanaceae.
GAAAGAGAGUAGGAGCCCAUUCUAUUCUAUCUAUCUAUCUCAGAAAGAAAGUCUCAACCCUUUGGUACGAAAGUAGGCCCUAGCUUCUCAAUAAGUCAUUCAAUGAACUAACUAUACUUAAGAUGUGAGCUAUACCUAUUCCUUCUUUUCUUAUCUCUUCCCUUUCGGGCCGGAUCGGAUAAAGAAAGGAGCUAAAGAAUGAAAUAUUCAUCAAAGUAGUCCUUACAUCCCUCCG